This 495-nucleotide ribosomal RNA is filed under the name uncultured bacterium. Its description in RNAcentral is "partial 16S ribosomal RNA". It matches the Rfam family "Bacterial small subunit ribosomal RNA", at positions 28 to 507 of the family's 1533-position model. The record is from RNAcentral.
GACGAACGCUGGCGGCGUGCCUAAUACAUGCAAGUAGAACGCUGAAGGAGGAGCUUGCUUCUCUGGAUGAGUUGCGAACGGGUGAGUAACGCGUAGGUAACCUGCCUGGUAGCGGGGGAUAACUAUUGGAAACGAUAGCUAAUACCGCAUAAUAUUGACUAUUGCAUGAUAGUCAGUUGAAAGGUGCAACUGCACCACUACCAGAUGGACCUGCGUUGUAUUAGCUAGUUGGUGGGGUAACGGCUCACCAAGGCGACGAUACAUAGCCGACCUGAGAGGGUGAUCGGCCACACUGGGACUGAGACACGGCCCAGACUCCUACGGGAGGCAGCAGUAGGGAAUCUUCGGCAAUGGACGGAAGUCUGACCGAGCAACGCCGCGUGAGUGAAGAAGGUUUUCGGAUCGUAAAGCUCUGUUGUAAGAGAAGAACGAGUGUGAGAGUGGAAAGCUCACACUGUGGCGGUAUCUUACCAGAAAGGGACGGCUAACUACGUG